RNAcentral lists this ribosomal RNA (253 nucleotides) under uncultured bacterium. RNAcentral describes it as "partial 16S ribosomal RNA". It matches the Rfam family "Bacterial small subunit ribosomal RNA", at positions 524 to 776 of the family's 1533-position model. The record is from RNAcentral.
UACGAAGGGGGCUAGCGUUGUUCGGAAUUACUGGGCGUAAAGGGCGCGUAGGCGGCCCUGCACGUCAGGCGUGAAAGCCCCGGGCUUAACCUGGGAAUGGCGCUUGACACGGCAGGGCUUGAGGUCGAGAGAGGGUGGUGGAAUUCCCAGUGUAGAGGUGAAAUUCGUAGAUAUUGGGAGGAGCACCGGUGGCGAAGGCGGCCACCUGGCUCGUACCUGACGCUGAGGCGCGAAAGCGUGGGGAGCAAACAGG